This 910-nucleotide ribosomal RNA is filed under the name Sclerotinia bulborum. RNAcentral's name for it is "LSU rRNA". It matches the Rfam family "Eukaryotic large subunit ribosomal RNA", at positions 38 to 965 of the family's 3401-position model. The record is from RNAcentral. Lineage: Eukaryota; Fungi; Ascomycota; Leotiomycetes; Helotiales; Sclerotiniaceae.
GCAUAUCAAUAAGCGGAGGAAAAGAAACCAACAGGGAUUACCUCAGUAACGGCGAGUGAAGCGGUAAAAGCUCAAAUUUGAAAUCUGGCUCUCUCAGGGUCCGAGUUGUAAUUUGUAGAAGAUGCUUCGGGUGUGGUUCCGGUCUAAGUUCCUUGGAACAGGACGUCAUAGAGGGUGAGAAUCCCGUAUGUGACUGGAUACCUAUGCUCAUGUGAAGCUCUUUCGACGAGUCGAGUUGUUUGGGAAUGCAGCUCAAAAUGGGUGGUAUAUUUCAUCUAAAGCUAAAUAUUGGCCAGAGACCGAUAGCGCACAAGUAGAGUGAUCGAAAGAUGAAAAGCACUUUGGAAAGAGAGUUAAACAGUACGUGAAAUUGUUGAAAGGGAAGCGCUUGCAAUCAGACUUGCACUUGGUGUUCAUCAGGGUUUCGUGCCCUGUGUACUUCAUCAAGUUCAGGCCAGCAUCAGUUUGAGUGGUUAGAUAAAGGCUUGGAGAAUGUGGCCCUCUUCGGGGGGUGUUAUAGCUCCAGGUGCAAUGUAGCCUACUUGGACUGAGGACCGCGCUUCGGCUAGGAUGCUGGCGUAAUGGUUGUAAGCGACCCGUCUUGAAACACGGACCAAGGAGUGUACCUAAUAUGCGAGUGUUUGGGUGUUAAACCCAUACGCGUAAUGAAAGUGAACGCUGGUGAGAACCCUCAAGGGUGCAUCAUCGACCGAUCUUGAUGUCUUCGGAUGGAUUUGAGUAAGAGCAUAUUGGGUGCGACCCGAAAGAUGAUGAUCUAUACGUGAAUAGGGUGAAGCCAGAGGAAACUCUGGUGGAGGCUCGCAGCGGUUCUGACGUGCAAAUCGAUCGUCAAAUUUGCGUAUAGGGGYGAAAGACUAAUCGAAUCAUCUAGUAGCUGGUUCCUGCCGAA